Schistocerca gregaria is the source of this 204-nucleotide long non-coding RNA. RefSeq lists it as uncharacterized. Lineage: Eukaryota; Metazoa; Arthropoda; Insecta; Orthoptera; Acrididae. The record is from RefSeq and is a predicted model, not a curated record. The transcript has 3 exons.
AAGCCUUGAUUUACGAGAUUCCUGUAACAUCCUAGGAAGACCUACUGGGCCGGGUUAUGGCUGAGGUGGAUGCUGAAGGACCAGCAUCCAAAACACGUACGGAGGUGUCCUACCUGUAAUGACGUCGUACUUGUAAGUGGACAAGCAGCAAGGCGCAGAGGGCAACUGUAGAUAGGUUGUGGUGGUCGAUUGUUUGACCUCAAC